AUGCAGAGCAACAUCUACAGGCAACAGAAUGAGCACUUUGAAGUCUUUACCACUGUCCUCUCCCCACAAGUUCACCGGGGACGAUGCCAAUUCAGACAGGCAGAGGCUGACAAGAUGGUGGUAAAGCGCAGCUACAAGCCCCACUGGCCAGAUGAGCUGGCGCUGACCCGGGGGGAGUUCAUCCUGGUUCUGUGUAAAGAUGAUGAGGCCCGGUGGUUUGGGCGGCUGCAAAACGGACAGCAGGGAUACUUCCCGGCCUCGCAUGUUGUGGAGCUGAGCCACCAGGACGAUGAGCCAGCUAAAGACGUCCACCGCUUAGCGAGACGGGGUUCAGCUCCGGCCACGUAUGCAGGUGGUACUGGCGCACUCAGGCUGCAGGCCCUCCGCAGAGCCAGCAGAGCAGCGGCAGGAGGGGGGCCGGAGGGGGCCGAGGGGGAGAGAGAGGGCCCCAUCCUGAUACUGAAGUCCCAGAUCUCUCUCCCUAACAGGCUGCCCCAGCCCCUGCCCCAACCCCAGCCACAGGCACACAGCUCCCCAAGCUUCCUCCACAGGAUCCUAUCCAAGCACCGUCGGAGGAGUGAUUGUCAUGGGUCCAGCAACACGGGCUACAUGGCCGACUAA
RNAcentral lists this long non-coding RNA (621 nucleotides) under Oncorhynchus mykiss (rainbow trout). RNAcentral describes it as "lncRNA (ENSOMYG00000072510.1)". The record is from RNAcentral. Lineage: Eukaryota; Metazoa; Chordata; Actinopteri; Salmoniformes; Salmonidae.